GCCCGGCUGGCUCAGUGGGUAGAACAUGUGACUCCUGAUCUCAGGGUUGUGGGUUUGAGCCCCACACUGGGGG
RNAcentral lists this transfer RNA (73 nucleotides) under Ailuropoda melanoleuca (giant panda). It matches the Rfam family "tRNA". Rfam says of the family: Transfer RNA (tRNA) molecules are approximately 80 nucleotides in length. Their secondary structure includes four short double-helical elements and three loops (D, anti-codon, and T loops). Lineage: Eukaryota; Metazoa; Chordata; Mammalia; Carnivora; Ursidae. The record is from Rfam by way of RNAcentral.